Molecule: non-coding RNA, 2946 nt
Organism: Physcomitrium patens
Lineage: Eukaryota; Viridiplantae; Streptophyta; Bryopsida; Funariales; Funariaceae
Source: RefSeq, a predicted model, not a curated record
CAAGGAAAGAAGCAAUAAUAACCGCGCGGUAUUCGUUGCGGAAUCUGUCAAAAAUGGAAAGGAGAAAGCAUUGGCGUAGGCUGAGGACAUGCAAUGGGUGGGUGAUGUCACGGCGAGGUGAAGGGCGUUGUUGGGCUGGUUUGGCACGCCGUGGUGAGGUGUGACAACGGUAUGAGAAAGGCCCGUCAGAGUCAUUGACCGAAUUCUGUGAGGGAACGUUGUAUUUUUAUUAUUAUUUUUGGCCGUUUGGGGAGGCCCCACAUUGUGCUCCGUUGCCAUGCCUCCCGCUGCUGUACUGUGUCGUUGCUGUGAUUUUAUGUAGCACUCGAGUCUCAGCUCCAACCAGGUUGAUAUUCGGUGUCUGCGGUUGGGCCGGAGGGAUUAGGAGCCUAUGCAUUAGUUAGGGUUUUUCGGGGAUUGGUGGUCUUCGUGUCAUUGAGUGAAGUCUAAUGGUGGGGUUGGUGUUGCAAUGAGUAUAUGUUGGUUGUUCUUGCCUUUCGCGUUAGGGAUUAGGAUUUUGCUGUCAGUUAGGUUGAGUCGGAUUCCCAUUAUUGUACUGUUCUCAGUGUAUCAGCGCAGAAGAGUGGUUUGGCGUGUGCCAGGAAUCUAGCUUGUUCUGUAUGGAGAAUCGAUGGUGUAUUCACGGAAGGUCCUCGAAUUACGGUUGUAAUUUGGGUCGGGAAUUGUCGCAGUAGGUCGAUUGCAAUCUGAUACUGGAACCAGCUCCUCGCUCUCAAAAUCAUGGAUUUUACCGUUCGAAGAUUUGUAUGAAACUCUUCACGAAUGCAGCUGGGAUGUCCACUGAAGUGCUGAGCAUGAAGACCCGGCAAUGCAGGACUCUGUUUCAGUAAAUGUGUCAGUGCUGCUCUAAAUGCAACUUUGAUGCUCUGGAUUCCCGGUCAUUUUAACAAUGUCACCGAUAGUAUGCGUUAAAAGAGCUUGAGUUGAAGACCCGAUGGACAGGGUUUGCCAACGAUGGUUGUGAAGGCUGCCUUGAUCGAAUCUAUAUUCUCAGUCCUCCAACAUCAAGCCCUGGGCCCGGAGGUUGUUGAUUCUGUGGCAAUGGCAGUUGGAGAGCCAACUGGCGCGAAGAGAUAUGUCAAAGGUCACAAUCUCGGUGAGGGGACAUAUGGUGUCGUUUUCAAGGCUGUUGACACAGUGACAAACAGGACAGUAGCUAUCAAAAAGAUAAGAUUGGGAAAGCUAAAGGAAGGUGUGAAUGUGACAGCCUUGAGGGAGAUUAAACUUCUGAAGGAAUUACAAGAUCCAAACAUAAUUGAGCUGAUGGAUGUAUAUCCACACAAGAGCAACUUGCACCUCGUAUUUGAAUAUAUGGAGAGUGAUUUAGAAGCAGUGAUCCGGGAUCGAAACAUAUUUCUCUCUUCUGCCGACUGCAAGGCCUAUAUGCAAAUGAUUCUCAAGGGACUUGCGGUUUGCCACAAGAAGUGGGUGCUUCACAGGGAUUUGAAACCAAAUAAUCUUUUACUUGGUUCCAAUGGGCAGCUUAAGCUUGCCGAUUUUGGAUUAGCUCGUAUCUUUGGAAGUCCCGAUCGAAGGUUCACUCAUCAGGUCUUUGCACGGUGGUAUCGUGCACCUGAAUUGUUAUUCGGCUCCAAACAGUAUGGACCAGGUGUAGACGUGUGGGCCGCAGCAUGUAUUUUCGCGGAACUCAUUCUUCGUCGCCCUUUCCUCCAGGGCUCCAGCGAUAUUGAUCAACUGGGGAAGAUUUUUGGAGUCUUUGGAACUCCUGGGGAAGCCCAAUGGCCGGAUGUGACCAGCCUUCCUGAUUACGUUGAGUACCAGUACUCUCCACCUCAGUCUUUCCGUAGUCUUUUCCCGCAGGCAAGUGAGGACUGCAUUGACCUUCUUCAACGAAUGUUCACCUACGAUCCAAAACAAAGAAUUACUGCCCAGCUAGCACUGGAGCAUAGAUAUUUUAGGACUGAGCCUGCACCAACACCAUGUUAUAUGCUUCGAAGGCCGGUAAAGCCGGAAGUACAUCCAAAGCCCAUUGAGCUUUUAUCUCCAGCUGGACACAUUGUCUUUUCUCCUCCCACCAAGACACGUCGUCUUCAGCUAUUUGGUGGGGAUAUCAAAACAGCAGGUGAAGCGAGCCGGGAUACACACGCCAAGCUGCAACCGGAGUUGGGAACUCCAAUUGAUGCUAUCACUAUCCCUAUGUCAAUAGAUCCGAAAACAAAUCUUCGACCCACUCUCAACAGUUCCGAUAGAUCAUAUUUGAAGAGGAAGCUAGAUAUGGAUAUUUUUCUUACUCCUGCACGGCGAUAAAGAUUACCAUGCAUCAAUUACACAAAUCUGUCAUUACUUCAUGGGGUCUUUUGUAUCUACCAAGACGACCCGUAGAGACUUAGAUGAGAGAAUUAGCGUGAAGUGGACCGAAUCACGAGCGCAAAUGCAGAGAGUUAGAUUUCACUCUAGACCAAGGGUCAAGGAAAUUGAACGUCAAAGAUUUUUGUGUAGGUCUCAAGCAUCAGAGACCUGAAAUAGAGUCGAUUGAUCAGAAGUAAGUUUCGGGCAUAGUGUACAGAUAAAGAAGAGGGCUGGAAGAUAAGCGAUGCAAUGUGCACAGUCAUGCAGGACACUCAUGGCUGAAGCAUGCAAAGCAUUGAAUUAUUGGGCACAAAGCUUCCGCAUUGAUUUCAUGUUUGCCACAGAGGAACGUGGGGGUUAAACAGUGGUGUAGCAGAUUCUACAGUUAAGUCAUGCCGUUCAAUUGCAGGCACAGCAAGACGCUAAGUUCCUAUUGUGAGGUCUCACUCAUCCUUUGUCAACAUUCUGGGCAGUGACACAGACAUGCCGGUCGAAGCUAGCGGUUAGUGGAGCAGUUGCUUAGCGGUCAAGGACAUGAGCUGGUUCGAAUUCUGGUGAAUAAUUCAGCAUGCUGUGCAUUACAAGUUUAAACAUGCGCUCCAAUUCUACACUGCA